Molecule: ribosomal RNA, 576 nt
Filed under: Cetostoma regani (pink flabby whalefish)
Lineage: Eukaryota; Metazoa; Chordata; Actinopteri; Beryciformes; Cetomimidae
Description: partial 16S rRNA
Rfam family: Bacterial large subunit ribosomal RNA
Source: RNAcentral
CUGCCCUGUGACAUAUGUUUAACGGCCGCGGUAUUUUGACCGUGCAAAGGUAGCGCAAUCACUUGUCUUUUAAAUGAAGACCUGUAUGAAUGGUAUAACGAAGGCUUAGCUGUCUCCUUUCCCCGGUCAAUGAAAUUGAUCUCCCCGUGCAGAAGCGGGGAUAAAAACAUAAGACGAGAAGACCCUAUGGAGCUUAAGACAAAAUAGUAGUCCAUAUAAAGUAACUUCAAAUAAAAGGUUAUAUUUUUUGCCUCCUGCUUGAAUGUCUUUGGUUGGGGCGACCGCGGGGAAAUAAAUAACCCCCAUGUGGAUUGAGAGAACCUCUCCCAAAACCAAGAGUCACCACUCUAAGUAACAGAACCUCUGACCAAAAUGAUCCGGUAAACACCGAUCAACGAACCGAGUUACCCUAGGGAUAACAGCGCAAUCCCCUUCCAGAGCCCAUAUCGACAAGGGGGUUUACGACCUCGAUGUUGGAUCAGGACAUCCUAAUGGUGCAGCCGCUAUUAAGGGUUCGUUUGUUCAACGAUUAAAGUCCUACGUGAUCUGAGUUCAGACCGGAGUAAUCCAGGUCAG